GCAGAGAUGCACUCGAGAUGCGCGGCGGAGGGCGGCGAGGGGCAGGAGAGGGCGGCUGCAUCGGAACGAUCCGCUCGAGGCUCGGCGCCUCAUUAGCUUGCGACGGCGGACGCGCGCCGGAUACGUCGCCGUGUCGUCCACACGCGGCGCACGCUCGGUGCCUGCGAGAUGCUCUGCAGUCUGCACCGUCGCUCGCUACCUAUCAUCGAGGCUGACAUUUACACAAGAUCGCCUAGGACGCAAUAUUUCUAAGCACACCCAUCGCGCAGUGGUCCGCGCCCGCAUCGAACAAAAUCCUCUUAAUGUACAUUAAUAAACCUGGACACGAA
Molecule: long non-coding RNA, 329 nt
Organism: Melitaea cinxia (Glanville fritillary)
Lineage: Eukaryota; Metazoa; Arthropoda; Insecta; Lepidoptera; Nymphalidae
Exons: 2
Source: RefSeq, a predicted model, not a curated record